RNAcentral lists this ribosomal RNA (164 nucleotides) under Oberonia cathayana. RNAcentral's name for it is "5.8S ribosomal RNA". It matches the Rfam family "5.8S ribosomal RNA". Rfam says of the family: 5.8S ribosomal RNA (5.8S rRNA) is a component of the large subunit of the eukaryotic ribosome. Lineage: Eukaryota; Viridiplantae; Streptophyta; Magnoliopsida; Asparagales; Orchidaceae. The record is from RNAcentral. RNAcentral also lists the same sequence under 1 other name.
GACACGACUCUCGGCAAUGGAUAUCUCGGCUCUUGCAUCGAUGAAGAGCGCAGCGAAAUGCGAUACGUGGUGCGAAUUGCAGAAUCCCGCGAACCAUCGAGUCUUUGAACGCAAGUUGCGCCCGAGGCCAACCGGCUGAGGGCACGUCCGCCUGGGCGUCAAGC